RNAcentral lists this ribosomal RNA (394 nucleotides) under unidentified. Its description in RNAcentral is "bacterial SSU rRNA". It matches the Rfam family "Bacterial small subunit ribosomal RNA", at positions 561 to 953 of the family's 1533-position model. The record is from RNAcentral.
UAAAGGGUGCGUAGGNGGNUUGNUAAGUCUGCUGUGAAAGNCCUGGGCUCAACCUGGGAACUGGAGUGGAUACUGGCGAGCUAGAGUGUGUCAGAGGAUGGUGGAAUUCCCGGUGUAGCGGUGAAAUGCGUAGAGAUCGGGAGGAACACCAGUGGUGAAGGCGGGCAUCUNGGACAACACUGACGCUGAGGNACGAAAGCGUGGGGAGCAAACAGGAUUAGAUACCCUGGUAGUCCACGCCCUAAACGAUGCGAACUGGACGUUGGGCACACUUAGGUGCUCAGUGUCGAGGCUAACGCGUUAAGUUCGCCGCCUGGGGAGUACGGUCGCAAGACUGAAACUCAAAGGAAUUGACGGGGGGCCCCACAAGCGGGGGANUAUGUGGUUUAAUUCG